AGAAAGACGGCCUGCAGAAGACCAGGAACGGUUCUGACUAUAGUCUCCAGGAUUGAGGUACAACGUCUGAGAAGUGGAGAAAGAGGCUGCCCAGGACUUGCAGGCUAAACAAAACAAAUCAGAUGAUCCUCCCCUCCCCGUAAGAUUCUUAACUGAAGCACAGCCUCUUACUGACAACUGACCCUACAAGAAGCCACUGUUACUAACAAGAAAAGUGUAUCUUCGAUGUUGAGGCACCAAAAAAUCUGUGCUCAAAAGAAUUUUCAGAACACAACUAUUGUUGCCUAGAAUACUUCAACUUCUUGAAAUUUCUAAAGCACUUAUCUAGUUUACUCUCAGUCCAGCUGCCAGAAGAAGCCUUUUAAAAUGCUGAACUGGAUCAUGUGGGAAACCGUCUGGUGGCUCCCCACUGUUCUCAGAACUGAAGUCAGAGAAAUCACCAC
Bubalus bubalis (water buffalo) is the source of this 443-nucleotide long non-coding RNA. RefSeq lists it as uncharacterized. The record is from RefSeq and is a predicted model, not a curated record. Lineage: Eukaryota; Metazoa; Chordata; Mammalia; Artiodactyla; Bovidae. The transcript is spliced from 3 exons.